UUUGAUAAAAAGACUAGUCAUUAGGGGUAUUCCAAUAAAUACUCUUUUGUGCAUCCGGGCCAAAAGAUUGUUCUUGUAGCAUUGAGUCCUAGUGAGGUGAGAGAAGAUAAAAAAAAUGAAAGAAAAAAAUGAGCAAGAAAAAAAAUAAAAAGAAAAGAAUGAAAAAGAAAAAGAAAAAGAAAAGAAGGAAAAAGAAAAUAAAAAGAGUGGCAGAAAAAAGAAUGAUGAAAAGAAUGGGAGUUUGAUUGCAAAAAAA
This 256-nucleotide long non-coding RNA is filed under the name Lathyrus oleraceus (garden pea). Its description in RNAcentral is "Pisum sativum (pea) long non-coding RNA (PSAT_LNC015547)". Lineage: Eukaryota; Viridiplantae; Streptophyta; Magnoliopsida; Fabales; Fabaceae. The record is from RNAcentral.